Molecule: ribosomal RNA, 386 nt
Filed under: uncultured bacterium
Lineage: Bacteria
Description: bacterial SSU rRNA
Rfam family: Bacterial small subunit ribosomal RNA
Source: RNAcentral
GACGAACGCUGGCGGCGUGCUUAACACAUGCAAGUCGAGCGGUAAGGCCCUUUCGGGGGUACACGAGCGGCGAACGGGUGAGUAACACGUGGGUGACCUGCCCUCAGCUCUGGGAUAAGCCUGGGAAACUGGGUCUAAUACUGGAUAUGACUCCACGGUGCAUGUCGUGGGGUGGAAAGCCUUGUGCGGCUGAGGAUGGGCCCGCGGCCUAUCAGCUUGUUGGUGGGGUGANGGCCUACCAAGGCGACGACGGGUAGCCGGCCUGAGAGGGCGACCGGCCACACUGGGACUGAGACACGGCCCAGACUCCGUACGGGAGGCAGCAGUGGGGAAUCUUGCGCAAUGGGCGAAAGCCUGACGCAGCGACGCCGCGUGAGGGAUGACGG